RNAcentral lists this ribosomal RNA (422 nucleotides) under uncultured bacterium. RNAcentral's name for it is "bacterial SSU rRNA". It matches the Rfam family "Bacterial small subunit ribosomal RNA", at positions 355 to 774 of the family's 1533-position model. The record is from RNAcentral.
UGAGGAAUAUUGGGCAAUGCCCGAAAGGGUGACCCAGCAACGCCGCGUGGAGGAUGAAGGUCGUAAGAUUGUAAACUCCUGUUAGAGGGGAAGAAUAACUAAGUUUGGAGCUUAGUAUGACUGUACCCUCAGAGAAAGCCCCGGCUAACUACGUGCCAGCAGCCGCGGUAAUACGUAGGGGGCAAGCGUUGUUCGGAAUUACUGGGCGUAAAGGGUGCGUAGGCGGCGCUCUAAGUUUGGUGUGAAAUCUCCCGGCUUAACUGGGAGGGUGCACUGAAAACUGGGGCGCUCGAGUAUGGGAGAGGAAAGCGGAAUUCCUGGUGUAGCGGUGAAAUGCGUAGAGAUCAGGAGGAACACCUGCGGUGCAGACGGCUUUCCGGACCAUCACUGACGCUGAGGCACGAAAGCGUGGGUAGCAAACA